GCGUUUGGAGGCUGGGCCAGGGCAAUCUUUAAUUUGAGGCUAGUCGGACCACAUAGUGAGACUCUGUGUCAAAAAACUAAAAGACAGUAAAAUAAUUGUGGACGAGGGGCGGGGCGAUGGGUCAGUGGGUCAGACUUAGCACCCACAAAGCCCUGGCUUCUCUGCAUAAACCAGGUGCGAUGGUUCACACCUCUCAUCCCAGCCCUGCGGAGGGGGGAGGCAGGAAGAUCAGGAAUUCAAGGUCAUCCUUGGCUCACAGGGGUUUUGAAGCCACCCUGGGCUACAUAACACCCGAUCCCGCUUCAAAAAACCAGAAACUCGCAUUUAAUCCCAGCACUCUGGGAGCAGGAGGGCAGCUAGCCUGAUCUGCCAUAGAGACAGCCGCUGUCCCCCAAAAGGUGGGGCGCUGUCUUAUAAAACUGGCUUUGGCUUAAGUUAGGAUGAGGGGAUGUGGUUUGAGGACAGACAUUUGGAAGACACAUGCUGAGGGAUGCAGGUUUCAGAGACGAUGUCUCGAGGCCCCCAGCCAGGACCACCUACCCCACAGCUCCGGCUCAGCCCUACCGACCUCGGCUCCUGCCCGCCCUGUGGUCCAUGCCCUAUCCCGAAACCCGCAGCAAGAGGCAGGCGCCAGGGCCAAGACUGGGGCAAAAGUGACCAGCGCCUGCUCCAGGCCGUGGAGAACAACGAUGCCGCCAGAGUAGUUUCGUUGAUCGCCCAUAAGGGGCUGGUGCCCACAAAACUGGACCCCGAGGGCAAGUCUGCGUUUCACUUAGCUGCCAUGAGGGGCGCCGCGGGCUGUCUGGAGGUGAUGCUGGCUCAAGGCUCAGACGUCAUGAGUACAGACGGAGCAGGUUACAACGCCCUUCACCUGGCAGCCAAGUAUGGGCACCCUGAGUGCCUGAAGCAACUCUUGGAGGCUUCCUGCAUGGUGGACAUUGAGGACAGCAGUGGGUGGACAGCUCUUCACCAUGCAGCGGCUGGCGGCUGUCUGUCCUGCUCACAGCUGCUCUGCUCUUUCAAGGCACACAUGAACCCGCGGGAUCGGUCGGGUGCCACGCCCCUCAUCAUAGCAGCUCAGAUGUGUCACACGGAUCUGUGCCGUCUCCUUCUACAGCAGGGGGCUGCAGCAAAUGACCAGGACCUGCAAGGCAGGACAGCUUUGAUGCUGGCAUGUGAGGGAGGCAGCCCCGAGACGGUUGAAGUACUCCUGCAGGGUGGAGCCCAGCCGGGCAUCACUGAUGUACUGGGCCAGGACGCCGCUCACUACGGAGCCCUGACUGGGGACAAAUCCAUCUUGCAGCUUCUACAGGAGUCUGCGCAGCACGCUUCGCCUCCCAGUGCCUCUCUAGAGGAAGACUCCGGAGAGGCCUCGUCUCAGAACUCCGUGUCCAGCCAUGAGAAGCGAGGGGCCCCCAAGAAGCGCAAGGCACCCCAGCCUCCAGCCAGCAUGCCUGUUCCCGACGAUCGGGACGCCUAUGAGGAGAUUGUGCGCCUGCGCCAAGAGCGAGGCCGGCUCCUGCAGAAGAUCAGGGGCCUGGAGCAGCACGAGGAGCGGAGGAGAAGGGAGCCCCUGGAAGCAGAGGCCAGCUCAGUGCGCAGCCUGGAGAGGCAGGUGCGGGAGCUGCAGCAGCUGCUGGCGGAGAGGCAGGAGGAGAAGGAGAGCCUGGGCCGGGAGGUGGAGAGCCUGCAGAGCCGCCUGUCCCUGCUGGAGAACGAGAGAGAGAACACCAGUUACGAUGUGGCCACCCUGCAGGAUGAGGAGGCUGAGAUGCCCGGCUCCCCAGGCACUGACACGUUGCUGUCAAAGCACCUGCGCGGCCCGGCCGAGGAGCUGGUGGCUUCCCUGCAGGAGCAGGUGGCUCAGCUCACCAGGCAGAACCAGGAGCUGCUGGAGAAGGUCCAGAUUCUUGAGGAGUUUGAGAAGGACGAGGUGCAGAUGGCGGGGGACAGUCAGCCGGAGGCGGUUCCUCUGCUGUUGUACGACCUCCUGCGGGCAGAGCUUGAGCAGCUCCGGCAGCAGCACGCCGACGCCAUGCACACACUGCAGCAGCGGCAGGAGGUGACCGGGGGCCACGCGGGAGCAGAGACAGCACAUACAGAGAGCAGGGACAAGGGGACCUCCACCCAGAAUGGCCCCAGCGUCCCGGAGGUCAACGGCACCACGUAUCCAGAAACCACAGCAAAUGGCACUGCACUCCACACAGGAGGCCCCGUGGGUGUCGGGAGCUCAGAAGCCAGUCAUUCGGAGGCGGCGCUCACGGAGUCUGAGGCUACGGGGAAAGGUGGAGUGGCAGCCGAUGCCGUGGACACUAGAACCACUGUGAUCCAGGCCCUGGACACGAAAGCUGUAGGUGACAACGCUGAAAGCGAGCUGGUGGCCGCGGAAAGCACAGGAGGGAGAGAGAAUCCAGGAGUGGAGGCUGACGGGGCGCGUGUGGUGCCCGAGGGGCUCGCGGGUACAGGGAUUACAGACGUGGCGGCCACGGGAGCAGAGGCCACGGAAUUGCGGGACACCGGAGUCCAGGCCACGGGGGCAGAGACCACGGCAGCGAAGGCCACGGAAUUGCGGGACACCGCAGUCCAGGCCACGGGGGCAGAGGCCAUGGCAGUGAAGACCGCAGGAGUGCAGGCUACUGUGGCCGAGGUCACAGGAGUGAAGGUCAUAGGGGUGCAGGCCACGGAGACCGGGGCCAUCGGAGUCAAGGCCACUGGAGCCGAAGCCACCGGGGCGCAGGCCACUGUGACAGAGGGUAAGAGAGGCGAGGCUACGGGAGCGCGGGCCACCGCGAUGGAGACCAAUGGAGCCGAAGCCACCCGCACCGAGGGCCCCUGCGCUGCGGUCCUGCACCCGGGGGCGGCGGCGGCGGCGCUGCAGGCCGAGCUGGAGGCCCGGAUCCUCGGCCUGGAAGAGGCGCUGCGCCGGCGCGAGUGGGAGGCGGCAGCCGAGCUGGAGGCUGCCAGGGGCCUCUUGGCGGAGGCGGAGGCGGAGGCGACCCAGGGGCGGAACCGCGAACUGGAGGCGCUGCGGGAGCUGCUGGCCACGGCCACGGCCACAGGCGAGCACGCACGCGCGGAGGCGGCCGAGUUGCGCCGAGCGCUUUCGGCUUCCGAGGCUCGGGUUGCAGAGCUGAGCUCCGCCCACGCCGCCGCCCGCGAGGAGAUGGAGCGCAUGCGCGGGACCUGGGUGCCUGCGGACGAGCACGAGCGGGCUCUAGGCGCGCUGCGCGAUCACGUGACCCGGCUGCAGGCGCAGCUGGCGGAGCUGGCGCGCAGGCACGAGAGGACCAGCGCGGAGGUUUUCCAGGUGCAGCGUGAGGCACUGUUUAUGAAGAGCGAGAGGCACGCGGCCGAGGCCCAGCUGGCCACGGCUGAGCAGCAGCUCCGAGGGCUUCGCGCAGAGGCGGAGAGGGCACGCCAGGCCCAGAGCCGUGCCCAGGAGGCCCUGGACAAGGCCAAGGAGAAGGACAGGAAGAUCACAGAACUGUCCAAAGAAGUCUUCACACUGAAGGAGUCUCUCAAGGCACAGCAGGCAGCCCCUGCCAGCUCCCAGGAGGAGGAGGCCCUGCGAGGCCAGAUGACAGCUUUGCAGCAGCGGAUGGAGGAGGUGGCCCGGGAGCACGGUGCUGUGGUGGCUUUAUACCGCUCUCAUCUCCUGUGUGCCAUUCAGGGUGAUGAAUGGACUCAUCCUACACUGGGAGACCAGCCUGGGACCAAUGGUUCCCAGCUGCUCCAUCAGACAUGGCUCCCAUCUGAUAUGCUGCUGUGGCACAACCGUCCACCCAUGAGUGCAAGCCCACUGAUUCCCUACAGAUGCCCUUGCCCCUAGAUAGCAGGAAGUACAUUGAAGAAUACAACACCUACAUUCCCAAGAGGUUGGGUGAGUGAUUUUUGAUCAUUUAGUGCCUUAUGGAUAUUUGUCAUUGUUUAGGAGGGUUGGUUACAACUUGUCAUUCCUAAUGAUCAGGAAAAUAGAUGAACAAAGAAGAUUUAGAUUCAGAGUUCUUGUUUAAAAGAAAAAGAUAUAGAAAUAGGAUAAAAAGGUAGAUUACUGAAUCUACUUUUUUUGUUUGUUUGUUUUUUUGAGACAGGGUUUCUCUGUGUAGCUUUAGAGCCCAUCCUCGAACUUGCUCUGUAGACCAGGCUGGCCUCAAACUCACAGAGAUCAGCCUGCCUCUGCCUCCCGAGUACUGGGCUUAAAGGUGAGUGCCACCAAUGCCUGGCCUGAAUCUACUUUUAAGUCAAAAGAGCAACUAUUAGUUUUAAAUAUUUUACAUUGGCUUGGAUAUUUGUUUAUUGAUACAAAAUUGGGAUUAUUUUGUUAUAACAUACUGUACAUCCAUUUCUAAUCUUGUUCAAGGUAUUGUAUGUAUACAGAUCAUUUAACAAUGUAAUGUAAAUUUUUAGCCCUUGAAAGUUAUUACUACCAACUGCUUAGGAUAAAAAGAAAUGCAGGUUAGUAAUUAGCCACCUAUUACAAGUGAACUUGUAGGUACAUUAGAUAUGUUUUCAAGGUCAAACAGAUAUAUUUUAGAAAGGAAGGUCAUCUUCAAACACUCCAGAGAGCUACAGAAUAUGGUAUUUAAGAUGUUUCAUAACAUAGGUUCUUUUCUUUUUUAUGAUGAGACAUGUUUGCUCCUGGAAGGACCAAUCUACUUCAGAGAAGAUGAUGGGCAUCAAAGAACCCCACAUGGAGCUUACUUUCUUUGUGGCAAACGUUAUCCACUGGGCAAGAAGGUGCUCAUACCUCGACUGCUGACAAUAUGCUGUCCUAAUUGGAUAAGGACACACAUACACACACACACCGGACUGCCAAACUUUGCAAAGACAAGCUGAAAUUUCACGAGAACAUCAAUGAUCAAGAAAUGCUUGUCCUAGCUCGUGGACCUCACAGACUCUAGACCAUCAGCUGUGGAGCCUGCAUGUGACCAAACCUCUGCAUGUGGGUGACAGUCGUGUAGCCUGGUGUGUUUGAGGGACCCUGGCAGUGGGACCGGGAUCUACCCUUGGUGCAUGAGCUGGCUUCUUGAGCCCAUUCCCUAUGGAGGGAUGACUUGUUCAACUUUGAUGCAGGGGAGAAGGGCUCGCUCCUGACUCAACUUAAUGUGCCAGGCUUCGCUGCCUCCCCGUGGGAGGCCUUACCCUUUCAGAGGAGUGCAAAUGUGGUGGAUUUGGGAGCAGCUGGGAUGGGGGGAGCAGGAGGACUGGUGGGAAGGGGAACUGUGGUUGGUAUGCAUGAUGAAUAAAAAAAUUAAAAAAG
Molecule: RNA transcript, 5260 nt
Organism: Mesocricetus auratus (golden hamster)
Lineage: Eukaryota; Metazoa; Chordata; Mammalia; Rodentia; Cricetidae
Gene: Ankrd24
Gene name: ankyrin repeat domain 24
Exons: 22
Source: RefSeq, a predicted model, not a curated record